Molecule: ribosomal RNA, 465 nt
Filed under: uncultured Arsenophonus sp.
Lineage: Bacteria; Pseudomonadati; Pseudomonadota; Gammaproteobacteria; Enterobacterales; Morganellaceae
Description: bacterial SSU rRNA
Rfam family: Bacterial small subunit ribosomal RNA
Source: RNAcentral
CCUACGGGUGGCAGCAGUGGGGAAUCUUGCACAAUGGGAGCAAGCCUGAUGCAGCCAUGCCGCGUGUAUGAAGAAGGCCUUCGGGUUGUAAAGUACUUUCAGUCGUGAGGAAGGUGUUAAGGUUAAUAACCUUAGCCAUUUACGUUAUCGACAGACGAAGCACCCCCUAACUCCGUUCCAGCUGCCUCGCUCUUACGGAGGGUGCGAGCGUUAAUCGGCAUUACUGGGCGUAAAGGGCACGCAGGCGGUUAAUUAAGUUGGAUGUGAAAUCCCCGGGCUUAACCUGGGAAUGGCAUUCAAGACUGGUUAGCUAAAGUCUUGUAGAGGGGGGUAGAAUUCCAUGUGUAGCGGUGAAAUGCGUAGAGAUGUGGAGGAAUACCGGUGGCGAAGGCGGCCCCCUGGACAAAGACUGACGCUCAUGUGCGAAAGCGUGGGGAGCAAACAGGAUUAGAUACCCUGGUAGUG